GGGCCCGUAGUCGAGUGGUAAGACGUUACCCUGACACGGUAAAGAUCCCCGGUUCGAUCCCGGGCGGGCCCA
Molecule: transfer RNA, 72 nt
Filed under: Microcaldota archaeon
Lineage: Archaea; Nanobdellati; Microcaldota
Also listed under: 2 other names
Description: Candidatus Micrarchaeota archaeon (hot springs metagenome) tRNA-Val
Rfam family: tRNA
About the family: Transfer RNA (tRNA) molecules are approximately 80 nucleotides in length.
Source: RNAcentral